Long non-coding RNA from Seriola aureovittata, 2249 nucleotides. RefSeq lists it as uncharacterized. Lineage: Eukaryota; Metazoa; Chordata; Actinopteri; Carangiformes; Carangidae. The record is from RefSeq and is a predicted model, not a curated record. The transcript has 8 exons.
AUGCUGAAUCCACUCCUGCAUACAGAUAAGAGUUGAUUUACAUGGAGCAUGCACUGGUAUGGCACCUGAAGAUUUACUGAGGCACGCAGUGAAAGCUGAAGAAGAAGAAAAGAAGGCAUCAGAACAGUUUGAUAAGCUGAUGAUGACGGAGAGUGACAAACCGAAACAUCCCCUCCCGAAACAACGUGGCUUCCUCUCAGCCUCUGGCAGAGAUCCUCUCCAGGACACCUGCAGUGAGCCCUAGUCACGCAAUGCUGUGUGCGCAAACCUCCAGCAACUUUUCAACCCCGGCACACAAGAAAGCCGUCAAGUACCUGCAAUUGACAGAAUCGCGUGCAAUUCAGGUACUCCUGGAUUGUGCUGGAGCCCGGCCAAAUGGGGAGUUAAGGAAAAGGUGGAGUGGAGCUUCACCUGCCUAAAAUGAUCCAGUCCUUGUUUUGAGGUUUAAGGGAAGCUAUGAUCCCAGAAAUACAAGCAAGCCUGGAGGUGGUUAGGACAUGAAAGUGAGCAACAAUAAUAAACUUCACUUACCAUCAUGCCUUGCGCGUCUACGUCGGGCUGAGCGCAGCAUGUGCUUCACCGCUCUGUUCUCACUAUGGCUCAGUGCUGCUCAGACUCUUCACAGGAGAGCAUCGCACCCGCGGCAGGGAGGCUCGUUGGAGCUGAAGCAGGGAACCAUCACUGCACCGGACCGUAAAGAGGAACCAGGUUCUUUCACUGUCGCUUAUUGGAAAUAAUCACACUGAUCGAUCUGCCUUGAUUUGCCAGAGCACAAAUCAGUUUACGCAAGGAUUCUUUGGGAGAGGAUUAAAUGCUAACUUUAGAGCACUGACACGCGUGGAGCUAUUAUUGUUAUUAUCAUCGGUAAAACUUGAUCACGAUGACAACAGCAGCUGGAUUCAACAGUCCAGCUGUGGAUCGCCCUGGAGGAUAUAAGGAAAUACUGUCUCUUACACGGGAUGAACGGUGUCUUAACACUGUCGCUGCCCCAAGUCCUGCUGCUGGACAAGCUGUUUUGUUGGACAGACGAGUCUCUUGGGAUAUUUCACGCGUGUUCGCGGGUGGCCAGUGUUGUAGAUGGCCGAUAACGUGAUAUGCUUUUGGAAAUUUGUUGUGGUGGAUUUUGGAUUUUGGCGAACGGGAAAGGAAUAUCCUGGAAUAUAUUUUGGAAGCGAUGCUCAGCAGAUGUCCAGCGAUUUGGAUAAUGACAGUGCGCAUCAACUCAUCCAGCAGUGAAGGAAUCCAAAUUCCUAGAAUAAGAUGUCAACCUUUUAAUUGCUUCUCAGGGAUCUUCUGAUGAUCUCAGAUGAGCAACAAGAAGAGGUUGACUAAUGGAAACAUGAUCUCAAGGGAUUCAACAGGAUCAUACUAAAUCCUGGUUUGGACUGUGGACCAGCAAUCCCCUGCAGCAGAUGUUUGCUCCUGGCAUGGCAGCUGACAGCAUGAGCUCCAUCACUGACAAUCGUGCGCUCAGGAUCCAGCGCCAGCAGCUUGGACUUGGAGAAGCUGUGACAUAAACUCAGCAGGACAGGAGAGUGUAUUCUGCUGCUCAGACAUUAUGGAACAGAUCAGUCAGCCCUGUCUGGGGAGGUGCUCGAUAGGAAAGUCGAAACUCGAUGAAUGUGCGUUUACCAUAGACACCACAAUGAAUCUACAUAUUAUUUGACUUUGUCUUAAUUGAACCUGGAUUAAUAUUUUCCUGUAUAUACAUCUGCUUCUGAUAUCCACUGUUUAUUCACACUGUUGCUCAUACACUUGUACUGUAGUUGUGACAUUUACUGUGUUAUUCUGGGACCCGUAUCAACAAGUGCUGGAACCGUAAAUGGAAAAUAAUCAGAUGCUAUUUUCAUUUUUAAGACUAUUUUAACAAACUGAAGGCAGCGCUUGCGACAGCGCAGGCACAUUCUGUCUGGUGAAUAGCACAAUAAAUGUCUACUGUUUUGUAGGACAAAUAAAUACAUAUGUGGUCAAGAUUCCACGCAAUAAUUACUCAUAUAAUUCCUGGAAAUGUACAUAAUCAUCUUCUAAGGUCAAUAACAAAGAAGCUAUUAUCUAAAAGGUGCUGAUGAAUGCAAAUCAAAAACCUCUCCUAUUGACACGGCAUUUCACUGUGACAGAUUGACAGCCCAUCAUAUUGCUUAAUAACCCUGUCAAGCUGCUUAUUCUCAUGAUGAUUUGUAACUCCAUAACUUUUGUUGCGUCUGUGAAACCCUAUUAACAGAAAUAAUAAUAAAACAAAGUGUAUCCAA